UACGAAGGGGGCUAGCGUUGCUCGGAAUCACUAGGCGUAAAGCGCACGUAGGCGGAUUGCUAAGUCAGGGGUGAAAUCCUGGAGCUCAACUCCAGAACUGCCUUUGAUACUGGCAACCUUGAGUCCGGGAGAGGUGAGUGGAACUGCGAGUGUAGAGGUGAAAUUCGUAGAUAUUCGCAAGAACACCAGUGGCGAAGGCGGCUCACUGGCCCGGUACUGACGCUGAGGUGCGAAAGCGUGGGGAGCAAACAGG
RNAcentral lists this ribosomal RNA (253 nucleotides) under uncultured bacterium. RNAcentral describes it as "partial 16S ribosomal RNA". It matches the Rfam family "Bacterial small subunit ribosomal RNA", at positions 524 to 776 of the family's 1533-position model. The record is from RNAcentral.